RNAcentral lists this ribosomal RNA (1676 nucleotides) under Clostridioides difficile. Its description in RNAcentral is "bacterial LSU rRNA". It matches the Rfam family "Bacterial large subunit ribosomal RNA", at positions 1234 to 2925 of the family's 2925-position model. The record is from RNAcentral. Lineage: Bacteria; Bacillati; Bacillota; Clostridia; Peptostreptococcales; Peptostreptococcaceae.
GAGCUUCCCAUACGGGUUGAAGCAUGACCGUAAGGACAUGUGGACAGUAUGGGAGUGAGAAUGUUGGCAUGAGUAGCGAGAUGUGGGUGAGAAUCCCACAGGCCGUAAACCCAAGGUUUCCAGGGGAAGGUUCGUCCGCCCUGGGUUAGUCGGGACCUAAGCUGAGGCCGAAAGGCGUAGGUGAUGGACAACAGGUUGAUAUUCCUGUACUACCGAUAACCGUUUGAGAGAAGGGAUGACACAGUAGGAUAAGCUAAGCACACUGUUGGUUAUGUGUGCCCAAGCAUUGAGGCAGUCAAAGUAGGCAAAUCCGCUUUGAUAAUGCUGGGAUGUGAUGGGGAGCGAAAUUUAGUAGCGAAGUAGCUGAUUUCACACUGUCAAGAAAAGUCUCUAUCGAGGUUAAAGGUACCCGUACCGCAAACCGACACAGGUGGGUGAGGAGAGUAUCCUAAGGCCAGCGAGAGAACUGUUGUUAAGGAACUCGGCAAAAUGACCCCGUAACUUAGGGAUAAGGGGUGCCACCAUCAGGUGGCCGCAGAGAAUAGGCCCAAGCGACUGUUUACCAAAAACAUAGGUUUCUGCUAAGUCGCAAGACGAUGUAUAGGAGCUGACGCCUGCCCGGUGCUGGAAGGUUAAGGGGAUCUGUUAGAGCAAUCGAAGCAGUGAACUUAAGCCCCAGUAAACGGCGGCCGUAACUAUAACGGUCCUAAGGUAGCGAAAUUCCUUGUCGGGUAAGUUCCGACCCGCACGAAAGGCGUAACGAUUUGGGCACUGUCUCAACAACAGACUCGGUGAAAUUGUAAUUCCGGUGAAGAUGCCGGAUACCUGCGACAGGACGGAAAGACCCCAUGGAGCUUUACUGUAGCUUGACAUUGGGUCUUGGUACUACAUGUACAGGAUAGGUGGGAGGCUUUGAAACCAGGACGCCAGUUUUGGCGGAGCCAUCCUUGGGAUACCACCCUUGUAGUACUGGGACUCUAACCAUAGGCCAUGAAUCUGGUCUUGGGACACUGUCAGGUGGGCAGUUUGACUGGGGCGGUCGCCUCCCAAAAGGUAACGGAGGCGCUCAAAGGUUCUCUCAGUACGGUCGGAAAUCGUACGUAGAGUGUAAAGGCAAAAGAGAGCUUGAUUGCAAGACAUACAGGUCGAGCAAGGAUGAAAAUCGGACUUAGUGAUCCGGUGGUUCUGCGUGGAAGGGCCAUCGCUCAACGGAUAAAAGCUACCCUGGGGAUAACAGGCUUAUCUCCCCCAAGAGUCCACAUCGACGGGGAGGUUUGGCACCUCGAUGUCGGCUCAUCACAUCCUGGGGCUGUAGUAGGUCCCAAGGGUUGGGCUGUUCGCCCAUUAAAGUGGUACGCGAGCUGGGUUCAGAACGUCGUGAGACAGUUCGGUCCCUAUCCGUCGCAGGCGUAGGAAAUUUGAGAAGACCUGUCCUUAGUACGAGAGGACCGGGAUGGACGUACCUCUGGUGUACCAGUUGUCCUGCCAAGGGCAUGGCUGGGUAGCUAUGUACGGAAUGGAUAAGCGCUGAAAGCAUCUAAGCGCGAAGCCAACUUCAAGAUAAGAUUUCCCACCGCAAGGGUAAGACCCCAGAAAGACUAUCUGGUUGAUAGGUCGAAGGUGUAAGUGCAGCAAUGUAUUUAGCUUAUCGAUACUAAUAGGUCGAGGACUUGACC